UACGUAGGUGGCAAGCGAUACUCGGAAUCACUAGGCGUAAAGCGCAGGUAGGCGGUUUGGUAAGUCUUUUGUGAAAGCUCCCGGCUCAACUGGGAGAGGUCAAAGGAAACUACUAGGCUAGAGUGUGGUAGGGGAUACUGGAAUUCCUGGUGUAGCGGUGAAAUGCGUAGAUAUCAGGAGGAAUACCUAUGGCGAAAGCAGGUAUCUGGGCCAUCACUGACGCUGAGCUGCGAAAGCUAGGGGAGCAAACAGG
This 253-nucleotide ribosomal RNA is filed under the name uncultured bacterium. Its description in RNAcentral is "partial 16S ribosomal RNA". It matches the Rfam family "Bacterial small subunit ribosomal RNA", at positions 524 to 776 of the family's 1533-position model. The record is from RNAcentral.